AUCAGGCUUGCUUUUUUAUGAUGGCAGGAAUUAUGGGAAUAAUUUUGAUAUAAACCAGGCAUAGAAGUGUAUGGAUGAAAUAUUGUCUGAGCUGGCUUUAGCCACUGCCUUUCAGUUGAGUUAGCUGGGAAGGAGCAGCUCAACUCCUUGGUGAAGAUACUCAGUCUUCAAGCAAAGUGCAGGCACGUGUCACUGCACACAGCAAAGACAAGGCCAGUCUGAUCAGAGACAUGAACGAUGAGAGAAGCACAGUUCCUGAAUAUUGCACUGGGAGAGCACCAGACUGGGUGGGAAGAAAAGCCACAGAGGCACUGCAGAAAUGAAGAGAGGUAGCAGGACAUGCAGCCAGUGCACCCCUAUGAAAGACCAAGGGAUGAACCGAAGACCUUGCUUUGCUGGAUGCUGAGUGCCCUAAAGUUCCAUUACACAUCUCAGGAAAGAACCUUAAUGGUUUUAUUGGGACCCAUAUCUGCACAUAUAAACAUGGCCUUUGAAGAUGAAAGGAUUUUUUUUUUUUCUCUGCUUCUAUUUGUUGCCUCUUGGUCGACAUGUUCCUAUAUGGACAGUCAGUCCCCAGAUAUCUGUUCCCUAAUCAGGGACAUGAAUAACAUCCUCAGAGGGAAGACUCUGGAACACCUAUGAAAGUCAGAAGUGUGAGGAAUACAUCUCAGAUGAUGCAGAUGCAGUCACUGCUGUAUGAUCAGAUAAGCAACAUUGCAAGUUCAUUUUUGUAUGCUAAAUAAAAUAAAAAUGUCAAUAUUUACA
This 765-nucleotide long non-coding RNA is filed under the name Parus major (Great Tit). Its description in RNAcentral is "lncRNA (ENSPMJG00000019417.1)". Lineage: Eukaryota; Metazoa; Chordata; Aves; Passeriformes; Paridae. The record is from RNAcentral.